AUUGAACGCUGGCGGCAUGCCUUACACAUGCAAGUCGAACGGCAGCACGGGAGCAAUCCUGGUGGCGAGUGGCGAACGGGUGAGUAAAGUAUCGGAACGUACCCAGUCGUGGGGGAUAACGUAGCGAAAGUUACGCUAAUACCGCAUACGAUCUAUGGAUGAAAGCGGGGGAUCGCAAGACCUCGCGCGAUUGGAGCGGCCGAUAUCAGAUUAGGUAGUUGGUGGGGUAAAGGCUCAUCAAGCCGACGAUCUGUAGCUGGUCUGAGAGGACGACCAGCCACACUGGGACUGAGACACGGCCCAGACUCCUACGGGAGGCAGCAGUGGGGAAUUUUGGACAAUGGGCGAAAGCCUGAUCCAGCCAUGCCGCGUGCAGGAUGAAGGCCUUCGGGUUGUAAACUGCUUUUGUACGGAACGAAAAGGUUUGGCCUAAUAAGCUGAGCUCAUGACGGUACCGUAAGAAUAAGCACCGGCUAACUACGUGCCAGCCGCCGCGGUAA
RNAcentral lists this ribosomal RNA (500 nucleotides) under uncultured bacterium. Its description in RNAcentral is "partial 16S ribosomal RNA". It matches the Rfam family "Bacterial small subunit ribosomal RNA", at positions 30 to 523 of the family's 1533-position model. The record is from RNAcentral.